RNAcentral lists this transfer RNA (64 nucleotides) under uncultured Strombidinopsis. It matches the Rfam family "tRNA", at positions 5 to 66 of the family's 71-position model. Rfam says of the family: Transfer RNA (tRNA) molecules are approximately 80 nucleotides in length. Their secondary structure includes four short double-helical elements and three loops (D, anti-codon, and T loops). The record is from RNAcentral. Lineage: Eukaryota; Ciliophora; Spirotrichea; Choreotrichida.
CUAUAGCUCAGUAGGUAGAGCGCUCGGCUGUUAACCGAAAGGUCGUUGGUUCGAUCCCAACUGG